UCGCCCUUGGAUCCAGACUUUGAUCCUGGCUCAGGAUGAACGCUAGCUACAGGCUUAACACAUGCAAGUCGAGGGGCAGCAUGUUGGUUGCUUGCAAUCAACGAUGGCGACCGGCGCACGGGUGAGUAACGCGUAUCGAACCUGCCUCAUACUCGGGAAUAGCCUUGCGAAAGUAAGAUUAAUGCCCGAUGUUCUUCAUUUUUCACAUGAGAGAUGAAGCAAAGAUUUAUCGGUAUGAGAUGGCGAUGCGUCCCAUUAGCUUGUUGGCGGGGUAACGGCCCACCAAGGCAUCGAUGGGUAGGGGUUCUGAGAGGAAGGUCCCCCACAUUGGGACUGAGACACGGUCCAAACUCCUACGGGAGGCAGCAGUGAGGAAUAUUGGUCAAUGGACGAAAGUCUGAACCAGCCAAGUAGCGUGCGGGAUGACGGCCCUCUGGGUUGUAAACUGCUUUUAGUUGGGAAUAAAGUGCACCACGUGUGGUGUUUUGUAUGUACCAUCAGAAAAAGGACCGGCUAAUUCCGUGCCAGCAGCCGCGGUAAUACGGAAGGUCCAGGCGUUAUCCGGAUUUAUUGGGUUUAAAGGGAGCGCAGGCGGACCUUUAAGUCAGCUGUGAAAUACGGCGGCUCAACCGUCGAACUGCAGUUGAUACUGGAGGUCUUGAGUGCACACAGGGAUACUGGAAUUCAUGGUGUAGCGGUGAAAUGCUCAGAUAUCAUGAAGAACUCCAAUCGCGAAGGCAGGUAUCCGGGGUGCAACUGACGCUGAGGCUCGAAAGUGCGGGUAUCAAACAGGAUUAGAUACCCUGGUAGUCCGCACAGUAAACGAUGAAUACUCGCGAUUUGCGAUACACAGUAAGUCGCCAAGCGAAAGCGUUAAGUAUUCCACCUGGGGAGUACGCCGGCAACGGUGCAAAU
RNAcentral lists this ribosomal RNA (915 nucleotides) under uncultured Bacteroidota bacterium. RNAcentral's name for it is "bacterial SSU rRNA". It matches the Rfam family "Bacterial small subunit ribosomal RNA", at positions 1 to 901 of the family's 1533-position model. The record is from RNAcentral. Lineage: Bacteria; Pseudomonadati; Bacteroidota.